CUUUGCCUGGCACCUUGUUCUG
This 22-nucleotide microRNA is filed under the name Monodelphis domestica (gray short-tailed opossum). RNAcentral describes it as "mdo-miR-12297a-5p". The record is from miRBase by way of RNAcentral. Lineage: Eukaryota; Metazoa; Chordata; Mammalia; Didelphimorphia; Didelphidae.